RNAcentral lists this ribosomal RNA (253 nucleotides) under uncultured bacterium. RNAcentral describes it as "partial 16S ribosomal RNA". It matches the Rfam family "Bacterial small subunit ribosomal RNA", at positions 524 to 776 of the family's 1533-position model. The record is from RNAcentral.
UACGAAGGGGGCUAGCGUUGCUCGGAAUUACUGGGCGUAAAGCGCACGUAGGCGGCUUUCUAAGUCGGGGGUGAAAUCCUGGAGCUCAACUCCAGAACUGCCUUCGAUACUGGAGAGCUCGAGUCCGGGAGAGGUGAGUGGAACUGCGAGUGUAGAGGUGAAAUUCGUAGAUAUUCGCAAGAACACCAGUGGCGAAGGCGGCUUACUGGUCCGGAACUGACGCUGAGGUGCGAAAGCGUGGGGAGCAAACAGG